AACGAACGCUGGCGGCAUGCCUAACACAUGCAAGUCGAACGAGACCUUCGGGUCUAGUGGCGCACGGGUGCGUAACGCUUGGGAACCUGCCCUUAGGUUCGGAAUAACUCCCCGAAAGGGGUGCUAAUACCGGAUAAUGUCUUCGGACCAAAGAUUUAUCGCCUUUGGAUGGGCCCGCGUUGGAUUAGCUAGUUGGUAGGGUAAAAGCCUACCAAGGCGACGAUCCAUAGCUGGUCUGAGAGGAUGAUCAGCCACACUGGGACUGAGACACGGCCCAGACUCCUACGGGAGGCAGCAGUGGGGAAUAUUGGACAAUGGGCGAAAGCCUGAUCCAGCAAUGCCGCGUGAGUGAUGAAGGCCUUAGGGUUGUAAAGCUCUUUUACCCGGGAUGAUAAUGACAGUACCGGGAGAAUAAGCUCCGGCUAACUCCGUG
RNAcentral lists this ribosomal RNA (433 nucleotides) under uncultured bacterium. RNAcentral's name for it is "partial 16S ribosomal RNA". It matches the Rfam family "Bacterial small subunit ribosomal RNA", at positions 29 to 507 of the family's 1533-position model. The record is from RNAcentral.